GAUGAAGAACGUAGCGAAAUGCGAUAAGUAGUGUGAAUUGCAGAAUUCAGUGAAUCAUCGAAUCUUUGAACGCACAUUGCGCCCCUUGGUAUUCCCUGGGGCAUGCCUGUUCGAGCGUCAUUUGUACCUUCAAGCUCUGCUUGGUGUUGGGUGUUUGUCUCGCCUUUGCGUGUAGACUCGCCUUAAAACAAUUGGCAGCCGGCGUAUUGAUUUCGGAGCGCAGUACAUCUCGCGCUUUGCACUCAUAACGACGACGUCCAAAAAGUACUUUUUACACUCUUGACCUCGGAUCAGGUAGGGAUACCCGCUGAACUUAAGCAUAUCAAUAAGCGGAGGA
Molecule: unclassified non-coding RNA, 337 nt
Filed under: soil metagenome
Description: partial contains 5.8S ribosomal RNA, internal transcribed spacer 2, and large subunit ribosomal RNA
Rfam family: 5.8S ribosomal RNA (bases 1-120)
Source: RNAcentral